GGUCAGAUGGCCGAGCGGUCUAAGGCGCCAGCUUCAGGUUCUCCUGUUUGAAUUUAUCUAGCUUCCUCUCCUCUUCUGAGGAGGAGUGCAGUAAUAUGCUGGUCUAGUAAUAGGCGUGGGUUCGAAUCCCACUCUGAUCA
Cercophora scortea is the source of this 140-nucleotide non-coding RNA. NCBI's taxonomy places the organism in Eukaryota, Fungi, Ascomycota, Sordariomycetes, Sordariales, Lasiosphaeriaceae. The record is from the annotation of a GenBank genome assembly.